Molecule: transfer RNA, 74 nt
Filed under: Danio rerio (zebrafish)
Lineage: Eukaryota; Metazoa; Chordata; Actinopteri; Cypriniformes; Danionidae
Description: tRNA-Asn (GTT) (tRNA-Asn-GTT-201-1)
Rfam family: tRNA
About the family: Transfer RNA (tRNA) molecules are approximately 80 nucleotides in length.
Source: Rfam by way of RNAcentral
GUCUCUGUGGUGCAAUCGAUUAGCGCGUUUGGCUGUUAACUGAAAGGUUGGUGGUUCAAGCCCACCCAGGGACG